RNAcentral lists this ribosomal RNA (465 nucleotides) under Vreelandella stevensii. Its description in RNAcentral is "partial 16S ribosomal RNA". It matches the Rfam family "Bacterial small subunit ribosomal RNA", at positions 338 to 795 of the family's 1533-position model. Lineage: Bacteria; Pseudomonadati; Pseudomonadota; Gammaproteobacteria; Oceanospirillales; Halomonadaceae. The record is from RNAcentral.
CCUACGGGGGGCUGCAGUGGGGAAUAUUGGACAAUGGGCGAAAGCCUGAUCCAGCCAUGCCGCGUGUGUGAAGAAGGCCUUCGGGUUGUAAAGCACUUUCAGUGGGGAAGAAAGCCUUGGGGCUAAUACCCUCGAGGAAGGACAUCACCCACAGAAGAAGCACCGGCUAACUCCGUGCCAGCAGCCGCGGUAAUACGGAGGGUGCGAGCGUUAAUCGGAAUUACUGGGCGUAAAGCGCGCGUAGGCGGUCUGAUAAGCCGGUUGUGAAAGCCCCGGGCUCAACCUGGGAACGGCAUCCGGAACUGUCAGGCUAGAGUGCAGGAGAGGAAGGUAGAAUUCCCGGUGUAGCGGUGAAAUGCGUAGAGAUCGGGAGGAAUACCAGUGGCGAAGGCGGCCUUCUGGACCGACACUGACGCUGAGGUGCGAAAGCGUGGGUAGCAAACAGGAUUAGAUACCCUGGUAGUC